GGGCCUGUAACUUAGAGAAUUAGAGCACGUGGCUACAAACCACGGUAUCGGGGAUUUGAAUCCCUCCUCUCCCA
Molecule: transfer RNA, 74 nt
Filed under: Nicotiana sylvestris (wood tobacco)
Lineage: Eukaryota; Viridiplantae; Streptophyta; Magnoliopsida; Solanales; Solanaceae
Also listed under: 1 other name
Rfam family: tRNA
About the family: Transfer RNA (tRNA) molecules are approximately 80 nucleotides in length.
Source: Rfam by way of RNAcentral